This 253-nucleotide ribosomal RNA is filed under the name uncultured bacterium. Its description in RNAcentral is "partial 16S ribosomal RNA". It matches the Rfam family "Bacterial small subunit ribosomal RNA", at positions 524 to 776 of the family's 1533-position model. The record is from RNAcentral.
UACGUAGGGUGCAAGCGUUAAUCGGAAUUACUGGGCGUAAAGCGUGCGCAGGCGGUUAUGUAAGACAGGUGUGAAAUCCCCGGGCUAACCUGGGAACUGCAUUUGUGACUGCAUCGCUGGAGUGCGGCAGAGGGGGAUGGAAUUCCGCGUGUAGCAGUGAAAUGCGUAGAUAUGCGGAGGAACACCGAUGGCGGAAGGCAAUCCCCUGGGCCUGCACUGACGCUCAUGCACGAAAGCGUGGGGAGCAAACAGG